Non-coding RNA from Benincasa hispida (wax gourd), 901 nucleotides. NCBI's taxonomy places the organism in Eukaryota, Viridiplantae, Streptophyta, Magnoliopsida, Cucurbitales, Cucurbitaceae. The record is from RefSeq and is a predicted model, not a curated record.
GGCAGAAUACUUUGACAUGUAAAAGAUAUCAAGUUUUAGGAUUCAUUUUUAGGAGCCUCUGUUUUUAUUCCCUUUACUUGUCGUGCCUUCUUCCUCUCAAACGAAACCCUAGGAAUUUUUCUCCCCAUCGACUAUCUCGCCUCUCUUCUCCCAGGUCACGUUUGCACCGUCUCUGCACUCAACGUGGUCGUCGUGUGGUUGCUGGAAGAUCGAAUAAGCCCUAGCAAUUUCUGGCUUGUCUUCUUCACCGUUCCUCCAAGAUCGAAGAAGCCCUAGCGAUGUCUAAGGGGUAAUCAUAAGCAGUGACCAUGCUGAUGGGUUUCUAGAGAAACAGAACAACAAAAGGGACCAUACUGUCCAAAUGGGAAGAGCUUUCCAACAAGACAUAUUUUAGGCAAAAGAAAAAUGACACUGGGAUUGCUAGAAGGUAUUCCAACAAUGUUGAAAUGUGAAGUAGCUGUGGGAAGGGCUUUCCAACCAGGCAUAUUUUAGGCAAAAGCAAAUGAUACUGGGAUUGCUAGAAGGUAUUCUAACAAUGUUGAAAUGUGAAGUAGUUAUGGUAAUUUUCUUUCUCGUACUCAUUGUCUUAUUCUCCAUCCUUCUUUUCUCUUAAUCUAUCUAUUUCACCACUUAAUCUUUUUGCUUGCAUGGUAGGUUCCUAAAGGUAUAGAAAUGAAUGAGUAGGUAUGUGUACAAAAUGUAAGAAACAAGGUUGCAAGAACAAUUGGGGGACGCUUAUUUGGCAUAAAAUAGGUAUGUUGAGAUCUUAUUUCAAAGUUAUUUAGGGAUUCACAUAUUGAUUCUGACUUCUUGUGGUGAUGAUUUGUAAUAUGCUUUCUUGAAAUUAAGGAUAAUAAACAAUUUAGGACCAAUAUAAUUAUUAUUAGAUCUAUUAUUUCCA